GGACUUGUUUCCGUGGGGCUGGUGGCUUGUCCAGACGUUGCAUCAGCUGCUGCACCCAGGUCUCUUUAGGGUCUGCACAUAGCUCUGGCUGAGAGCGCUUCCGAGGCAACUCCCUUCUUGAUACCUUGGGUCCAGGGGAUGCAGAAGGCCAGGACCAGGACAAGGAGGCUCAGAGCCAGUGACUGAGCCAUCGCUGUGGUAGAAGGUAGAGACAGCAGGAUUUACUGAUGGAUUGAAUACGGACUAUUAGGAAAAAAGUCAAAGAUGACACCAAUAUUUUUGUCCUGAGA
This is a long non-coding RNA of Hyaena hyaena (striped hyena), 290 nucleotides long. RefSeq lists it as uncharacterized. NCBI's taxonomy places the organism in Eukaryota, Metazoa, Chordata, Mammalia, Carnivora, Hyaenidae. The transcript is spliced from 3 exons. The record is from RefSeq and is a predicted model, not a curated record.